This 492-nucleotide ribosomal RNA is filed under the name uncultured bacterium. RNAcentral's name for it is "partial 16S ribosomal RNA". It matches the Rfam family "Bacterial small subunit ribosomal RNA", at positions 29 to 507 of the family's 1533-position model. The record is from RNAcentral.
AGUGAACGCUGGCGGUAGACCUAACACAUGCAAGUCGAACGGCAGCACAGUAAGAGCUUGCUCUUACGGGUGGCGAGUGGCGGACGGGUGAGGAAUACAUCGGAAUCUACUUUUUCGUGGGGGAUAACGUAGGGAAACUUACGCUAAUACCGCAUACGACCUACGGGUGAAAGCAGGGGAUCUUCGGACCUUGCGCGAUUGAAUGAGCCGAUGUCGGAUUAGCUAGUUGGCGGGGUAAAGGCCCACCAAGGCGACGAUCCGUAGCUGGUCUGAGAGGAUGAUCAGCCACACUGGAACUGAGACACGGUCCAGACUCCUACGGGAGGCAGCAGUGGGGAAUAUUGGACAAUGGGCGCAAGCCUGAUCCAGCCAUACCGCGUGGGUGAAGAAGGCCUUCGGGUUGUAAAGCACUUUUGUUGGGAAAGAAAAGCAGCAGGUUAAUACCCCGCUGUUCUGACGGUACCCAAAGAAUAAGCACCGGCUAACUUCGUG